This 253-nucleotide ribosomal RNA is filed under the name uncultured bacterium. RNAcentral describes it as "partial 16S ribosomal RNA". It matches the Rfam family "Bacterial small subunit ribosomal RNA", at positions 524 to 776 of the family's 1533-position model. The record is from RNAcentral.
UACGUAGGUGGCAAGCGUUGUCCGGAUUUACUGGGCGUAAAGAGCGCGCAGGCGGUCGUUCAAGUCGCGUGUGAAAGCCCCCGGCUCAACUGGGGAGGGUCACGCGAUACUGAUCGACUGGAAGGCAGGAGAGGGUAGUGGAAUUCCCGGUGUAGUGGUGAAAUUCGUAGAUAUUGGGAAGAACACCGGUGGCGAAGGCGGCUCUCUGGACCGAGACUGACGCUGAGGCGCGAAAGCGUGGGGAGCAAACAGG